Molecule: ribosomal RNA, 489 nt
Filed under: uncultured bacterium
Lineage: Bacteria
Description: bacterial SSU rRNA
Rfam family: Bacterial small subunit ribosomal RNA
Source: RNAcentral
AAAUGAAUAGACGGGGGCCCGCACAAGCGGUGGAGUAUGUGGUUUAAUUCGAAGCAACGCGAAGAACCUUACCAGGCCUUGACAUCCCCUGCAAAGACAUGGAGACAUGUUGGAGGGUAUCAGGGAGACAGGUGGUGCAUGGUUGUCGUCAGCUCGUGUCGUGAGAUGUUGGGUUAAGUCCCGCAACGAGCGCAACCCCUGUGAUAUGUUACCAGUAUCAAGUUAGGGACUCAUAUCAGACUGCCGGUGACAAACCGGAGGAAGGUGGGGAUGACGUCAAAUCAUCAUGCCCCUUAUGGCCUGGGCUACACACGUACUACAAUGGCAUCUACAAAGAGCAGCGGCACUGUGAAGUGGAGCGAAUCUCAUAAAGGAUGUCUCAGUUCGGAUUGAAGUCUGCAACCCGACUUCAUGAAGUUGGAAUCGCUAGUAAUCGCGGAUCAGCAUGCCGCGGUGAAUACGUUCUCGGGCCUUGUACACACCGCCCGU